GAAAUGCGAUAAGUAGUGUGAAUUGCAGACUUUAGUGAAUCAUUGAAUCUUUGAACGCACAUUGCGCCUUUUGGAAUUCCACUAGGCAUGCCUGUUCGAGCGUCAUAUACUCUUUCAAGCACUAGCUUGGUGUUGGGUGUUUGUUCUGCAUCAUGCAAGGAACUCGCCUUAAAGGCUUUUGGCAGUUAGCCUGUCAGCUUUUUACGCAGCACUUGCGUCUUCUAAGCUAGACAGGCUAACAACCCAGCAAGCAACCCCUUUAGUUUGACCUCGAAUCAGGUAGGGUUACCCGCUGAACUUAA
This 302-nucleotide unclassified non-coding RNA is filed under the name uncultured Pleosporales. Its description in RNAcentral is "sequence contains ITS1". The stretch from base 1 to 105 matches the Rfam family "5.8S ribosomal RNA", at positions 50 to 154 of the family's 154-position model. The record is from RNAcentral. Lineage: Eukaryota; Fungi; Ascomycota; Dothideomycetes; Pleosporales.